GGCGUGCUUAAUACAAGCAAGUCGAACGCUCUUUCCUUCCGAAGUGCUUGCACUCAAUUGGAAAGAGGAGUGGCGGCGGGGUGAGUAACACGUGGGUAACCUACCCAUCAGAGGGGGAUAACACUUGGAAACAGGUGCUAAUACCGCAUAACAGUUUAUGCCGCAUGGCAUAAGAGUGAAAGGCGCUUUCGGGUGUCGCUGAUGGAUGGACCCGCGGUGCAUUAGCUAGUUGGUGAGGUAACGGCUCACCAAGGCCACGAUGCAUAGCCGACCUGAGAGGGUGAUCGGCCACACUGGGACUGAGACACGGCCCAGACUCCUACGGGAGGCAGCAGUAGGGAAUCUUCGGCAAUGGACGAAAGUCUGACCGAGCAACGCCGCGUGAGUGAAGAAGGUUUUCGGAUCGUAAAACUCUGUUGUUAGAGAAGAACAAGGACGUUAGUAACUGAACGUCCCCUGACGGUAUCUAACCAGAAAGCCACGGCUAACUACGUGCCAGCAGCCGCGGUAAUACGUAGGUGGCAAGCGUUGUCCGGAUUUAUUGGGCGUAAAGCGAGCGCAGGCGGUUUCUUAAGUCUGAUGUGAAAGCCCCCGGCUCAACCGGGGAGGGUCAUUGGAAACUGGGAGACUUGAGUGCAGAAGAGGAGAGUGGAAUUCCAUGUGUAGCGGUGAAAUGCGUAGAUAUAUGGAGGAACACCAGUGGCGAAGGCGGCUCUCUGGUCUGUAACUGACGCUGAGGCUCGAAAGCGUGGGGAGCAAACAGGAAAAGAUACCCUGGUAGUCCACGCCGUAAACGAUCCUUUGUGGGAGUUGGAGGGUUUACGCACUUCAUUGCUG
Molecule: ribosomal RNA, 837 nt
Filed under: Enterococcus faecalis
Lineage: Bacteria; Bacillati; Bacillota; Bacilli; Lactobacillales; Enterococcaceae
Description: bacterial SSU rRNA
Rfam family: Bacterial small subunit ribosomal RNA
Source: RNAcentral